RNAcentral lists this ribosomal RNA (517 nucleotides) under uncultured bacterium. RNAcentral's name for it is "bacterial SSU rRNA". It matches the Rfam family "Bacterial small subunit ribosomal RNA", at positions 338 to 849 of the family's 1533-position model. The record is from RNAcentral.
CCUACGGGAGGCAGCAGUAAGGAAUAUUGGACAAUGGUGGCAACACUGAUCCAGCCAUGCCGCGUGCAGGAUGACGGUUCUAUGAAUUGUAAACUGCUUUUAUACGGGAAAAACCCUCAAGACGUGAUUUUGAGCUGAUUGUACCGUAAGAAUAAGGAUCGGCUAACUUCGUGCCAGCAGCCGCGGUAAGACGAAGGAUCCAAGCGUUAUCCGGAUUUAUUGGGUUUAAAGGGUGCGUAGGCGGACUCAUAAGUCAGUGGUGAAAUCCCAAAGCUUAACUUUGGAACUGCCAUUGAUACUGUAAGUCUUGAGUAUGUUUGAAGUGGGCGGAAUGUAUUGUGUAGCGGUGAAAUGCUUAGAUAUAAUACAGAACACCAAUUGCGAAGGCAGCUCACUAAACCAUAACUGACGCUGAGGCACGAAAGCAGUGGGAGACAACAGAUAGUAUACCUACGUAGUCACUCGACCUAACCGACUAGAAUACUACGAUAUGUGCGAUAUACUAGUACGUGUCGUA